GGGUCCAUUCUAAUCCCUGCCGGCCCUGCCGUGGCCUGCCAGGUUUCGCUUGUGGACUAGAGCAGCCUAGAAGCCCCACUCUGAGUGAGCAGGACUCCAGUGGGCUUCGUCCAGUGGGAGCUUCUGGACACGC
RNAcentral lists this small nucleolar RNA (133 nucleotides) under Carlito syrichta (Philippine tarsier). The record is from RNAcentral. Lineage: Eukaryota; Metazoa; Chordata; Mammalia; Primates; Tarsiidae.